GGCAAACGGGUGAGUAACACGUGGGUGACCUGCCUUCGAGCGGGGGAUAACGUCCCGAAAGGGGCGCUAAUACCGCAUAACAUCCUGCCUUUGAAGAGGUGGAGAUCAAAGCUGGGGAUCGCAAGACCCGGCACUUGAAGAGGGGCCCGCGCCUGAUUAGCUAGUUGGUAAGGUAAUGGCUUACCAAGGCUACGAUCCGUAACCGGCCUGAGAGGGCGGUCGGUCACACUGACACUGACAUACGGGUCAGACUCCUACGGGAGGCAGCAGUCGGGAAUUUUGGGCAAUGGGCGAAAGCCUGACCCAGCAACGCCGCGUGAAGGAUGAAAUCCCUCGGGAUGUAAACUUCGCAAGAACGGGAAGAAUAAGUAGGGGACAAUACCCCCUAUGAUGACGGUACCGUUUGUAAGCUCCGGCUAACUCCGUGCCAGCAGCCGCGGUAAUACGGGGGGAGCAAGCGUUGUUCGGAUUUACUGGGCGUAAAGGGCGCGUAGGCGGUCAGCACAAGUCAGUUGUGAAAUCUCCGAGCUUAACUCGGAAAGGUCAACUGAUACUGUGCGACUAGAGUGCAGAAGGGGCAACUGGAAUUCUCGGUGUAGCGGUGAAAUGCGUAGAUAUCGAGAGGAACACCUGCGGCGAAGGCGGGUUGCUGGGCUGACACUGACGCUGAGGCGCGAAAGCUAGGGGAGCGAACGGGAUUAGAUACCCCGGUAGUCC
Molecule: ribosomal RNA, 717 nt
Filed under: uncultured bacterium
Lineage: Bacteria
Description: bacterial SSU rRNA
Rfam family: Bacterial small subunit ribosomal RNA
Source: RNAcentral